CAUAGGUUUCCGUAGGUGAACCAGCGGAGGGAUCAUU
This 37-nucleotide ribosomal RNA is filed under the name Trichoderma polysporum. RNAcentral's name for it is "partial 18S ribosomal RNA". Lineage: Eukaryota; Fungi; Ascomycota; Sordariomycetes; Hypocreales; Hypocreaceae. The record is from RNAcentral.